Molecule: long non-coding RNA, 176 nt
Organism: Cervus elaphus (red deer)
Lineage: Eukaryota; Metazoa; Chordata; Mammalia; Artiodactyla; Cervidae
Exons: 2
Source: RefSeq, a predicted model, not a curated record
UUCAGAUCUGGCUGGAGGAUCGCUUGAGCUCAGGAGUUCUGGGCUGCAGUGCGCUACGCCGAUCGGGUGUCCGCACUAAGUUCGGCAUCAAUAUGAUGACCUCCCGGGAGCGGGGGACCACCAGGUUGCCUAAGGAGGGGUGAACCGGCCCAGGUCGGAAACGGAGCAGGUCAAAA